AAGUCACUGACAUUAGAUACCCGUGUAGUCCAGGGUGUAAACGCUGCAGACUUGGUGUGGUUAAAUCCUUCGAGGGUAUUCAGUGCCGGAGAGAAGUUGUUAAGUCUGCUACUUGGGGAGUACGUCCGCAAGGAUGAAACUUAAAGGAAUUGGCGGGGGAGCACCGCAACGGGAGGAGCGUGCGGUUUAAUUGGAUUCAACACCGGAAAACUCACCAGGGGAGACUGUUACAUGAAACCCAGACUAAUGAUCUUGGUUGAUUUUCAG
This 267-nucleotide ribosomal RNA is filed under the name uncultured archaeon. Its description in RNAcentral is "partial 16S ribosomal RNA". It matches the Rfam family "Archaeal small subunit ribosomal RNA", at positions 717 to 982 of the family's 1478-position model. The record is from RNAcentral.